CACGGAGACGGGCGAUCGGGCGGAAUCCAUCGCUCCAGGUGUCCAGCAGCUGAGAACGGACCGCGACCCAGUCAGCACGUGUGUCUGCUGUCGGGUUCGCGACUGUGUCCUUGCCGUGCUGCAACGUCCCUCGCCUGUGCUCCGGAAACCCGGUGUCACCCUUGGUCACUUCCCCUCUGCUGCGGUGGACAUACCGCUCAUACGCUGGGAGAGCCAAAGGGGACCAUCCGGAGCUUGGCCGACUCUCCCUUUCACAGCAACGUCCGGGACGAGACCCCGGAGCGGUCUGGCGUCCUCUCAAGAGCGCCAGGCUUCCCAAAUCCACCCCCCACAGAGCGCCCUGACGCCAUACGACACCCGAGUCUGGAUUACAGUCUCCAUUUUCAGCACUGGGCCUCAAAGUGCUCCCCCCUCUCCGGCAUCGCGGCCCCCGGGCUUUGAUCCCAUCCAGCACCGGUGCAGUAGGCCCAGAGUGGUGCUGACAGCUGGCCGACCAUAACGUCACUGCACUCGCCUUCUGCAACAUGUCCAGUGUUGUCACAGAAUCUCCACGGAAA
Molecule: long non-coding RNA, 557 nt
Filed under: Scleropages formosus (Asian bonytongue)
Lineage: Eukaryota; Metazoa; Chordata; Actinopteri; Osteoglossiformes; Osteoglossidae
Description: lncRNA (ENSSFOG00015031647.1)
Source: RNAcentral